RNAcentral lists this ribosomal RNA (252 nucleotides) under uncultured bacterium. Its description in RNAcentral is "partial 16S ribosomal RNA". It matches the Rfam family "Bacterial small subunit ribosomal RNA", at positions 524 to 776 of the family's 1533-position model. The record is from RNAcentral.
UACGUAGGUCCCGAGCGUUGUCCGGAUUUAUUGGGCGUAAAGCGAGCGCAGGUGGUUUAUUAAGUCUGGUGUAAAAGGCAGUGGCUCAACCAUUGUAUGCAUUGGAAACUGGUAGACUUGAGUGCAGGAGAGGAGAGUGGAAUUCCAUGUGUAGCGAUGAAAUGCGUAGAUAUAUGGAGGAACACCGGUGGCGAAAGCGGCUCUCUGGCCUGUAACUGACACUGAGGCUCGAGAGCGUGGGGAGCAAACAGG